Molecule: long non-coding RNA, 418 nt
Filed under: Medicago truncatula (barrel medic)
Lineage: Eukaryota; Viridiplantae; Streptophyta; Magnoliopsida; Fabales; Fabaceae
Description: long non-coding RNA (MTRU_LNC005955)
Source: RNAcentral
UUGAACUAUUGUAUGAUAUAGUACAUAUGCUAUAUGGUGUGCAAUGUGGGUAUAAUUUAAUCUCAUCUGAAGGUAAUGCUGCAAAUAAAAUGUUCACUAAGUUUCUUUCUUGCUAAAAAAAAUGCUCACUAAAUUAACAUUACAGGAAUAUUUGUAGGAUUUUGCAUCAACAUCAUAGUUUCAAACAAAAGAAAAGGUCAGCUCCUAAAACACAAAACUAUGUUUAAUGUUUGGAUUGACAGUGACUUUCACAGAACCGCCACUGUGAUAUUGACAAAAACUACACUUUAGAUCUUCAAAAAUAUCCGUGUCAUCUUGAUUUUACUAAAAUCACUGCAAAUCCAGAUGUGCAUUCAUAUAUGAAUUUUGUUAAACUCACCACAAAUCUAAACAUGCACUAAUGCGUGGAUAUAUGGUA